This 939-nucleotide ribosomal RNA is filed under the name uncultured bacterium. RNAcentral describes it as "bacterial SSU rRNA". It matches the Rfam family "Bacterial small subunit ribosomal RNA", at positions 28 to 916 of the family's 1533-position model. The record is from RNAcentral.
CGCGAACGCUGACGGCGUGCCUAACACAUGCAAGUCGAGGGGCAGCAGGCCGGGACUUUAGGGUUCUGGUGCUGGCGACCGGCGGACGGGUGAGUAACGCGUAAGUGACCUACCCCAUGGUCUGGGACAACUCUUUGAAAGGGGGGCUAAUACUGGAUAAGCUCACGGCAUUGAGGUGUUGUGAGAAAAGGUGGCGACUGGUUAUUUUCUUAUGGGGGUAAUCAAGCUACUGCCAUGGGAUGGGCCUGCGUCCUAUCAGCUAGUUGGUGGGGUAGUGGCCCACCAAGGCGACGACGGGUAGCCGGCCUGAGAGGGUGGUCGGCCACACUGGCACUGAGACACGGGCCAGACUCCUACGGGAGGCAGCAGUGGGGAAUAUUGGGCAAUGGGCGCAAGCCUGACCCAGCGACGCCGUGUGGGGGAAGAAGGCCUUCGGGUUGUAAACCCCUGUCGAGAGGGAAGAAUGGCUGUAUAGUUAAGAGCUAUACAGUUUGACGGUACCUCUGGAGGAAGCCCCGGCUAACUACGUGCCAGCAGCCGCGGUAACACGUAGGGGGCGAGCGUUGCGCGGAAUUACUGGGCGUAAAGGGUGCGUAGGCGGCCUGGUAAGUCGGAGGUGAAAUCCCACGGCUCAACCGUGGAGGUGCUUUCGAUACUGCUGGGCUUGAGGCCAGGAGAGGCUGGCGGAAUUCCCGGUGUAGCGGUGAAAUGCGUAGAUAUCGGGAGGAACACCGGUGGCGUAGGCGGUCAGCUGGCCUGGCGCUGACGCUGAGGCACGAAAGCGUGGGGAGCGAACCGGAUUAGAUACCCGGGUAGUCCACGCUGUAAACGAUGGAUGCUAGGUGUCAGGGGCUAUAUGUUCUUGGUGCCGAAGCCAACGCGAUAAGCAUCCCGCCUGGGUAGUACGGCCGCAAGUCUGAAACUCAAAGGAAUUGACGG